CCAUCUGUGAUGAUCUUAUCAAAAUGACUUUCGUUCUUCUGAGUUUGCUGAAGCCACUUUCAGAUGCUGAGGGGG
Molecule: small nucleolar RNA, 75 nt
Organism: Acomys russatus (golden spiny mouse)
Lineage: Eukaryota; Metazoa; Chordata; Mammalia; Rodentia; Muridae
Product: small nucleolar RNA SNORD59
Exons: 1
Source: RefSeq, a predicted model, not a curated record